This 449-nucleotide ribosomal RNA is filed under the name uncultured bacterium. RNAcentral describes it as "partial 16S ribosomal RNA". It matches the Rfam family "Bacterial small subunit ribosomal RNA", at positions 29 to 523 of the family's 1533-position model. The record is from RNAcentral.
AAUGAACGCUGGCGGCAGGCCUAACACAUGCAAGUCGAACGGAUCCUUCGGGAUUAGUGGCGGACGGGUGAGUAACGCGUGGGAACGUGCCCUUUGGUCCGGAAUAGCCUCGGGAAACUGGGAGUAAUACCGGAUAAGCCCUUCGGGGGAAAGAUUUACCGCCAAUGGAUCGGCCCGCGUUGGAUUAGGUAGUUGGUGGGGUAAUGGCCUACCAAGCCGACGAUCCAUAGCUGGUUUGAGAGGAUGAUCAGCCACACUGGGACUGAGACACGGCCCAGACUCCUACGGGAGGCAGCAGUGGGGAAUAUUGGACAAUGGGCGCAAGCCUGAUCCAGCCAUGCCGCGUGAGUGAUGAAGGCCUUAGGGUUGUAAAGCUCUUUCAACGGUGAAGAUAAUGACGGUAACCGUAGAAGAAGCCCCGGCUAACUUCGUGCCAGCCGCCGCGGUAA